This 68-nucleotide transfer RNA is filed under the name Planusocoris schaeferi. Its description in RNAcentral is "tRNA-Gln". The record is from RNAcentral. Lineage: Eukaryota; Metazoa; Arthropoda; Insecta; Hemiptera; Alydidae.
UAUAUAUUGGUGUAUGAGCACAUAGAAUUUUGAUUUCUUAAGUUUUAGUUUAACUCUAAAAUAUAUAA